GAUGAACGCUGGCGGCGUGCCUAAUACAUGCAAGUCGAGCGAACGGACGAGAAGCUUGCUUCUCUGAUGUUAGCGGCGGACGGGUGAGUAACACGUGGAUAACCUACCUAUAAGACUGGGAUAACUUCGGGAAACCGGAGCUAAUACCGGAUAAUAUUUUGAACCGCAUGGUUCAAAAGUGAAAGACGGUCUUGCUGUCACUUAUAGAUGGAUCCGCGCUGCAUUAGCUAGUUGGUAAGGUGACGGCUUACCAAGGCAACAAUGCAUAGCCGACCUGAGAGGGUGAUCGGCCACACUGGAACGGAGACACGGUCCAGACUCCUACGGGAGGCAGCAGUAGGGAAUCUUCCGCAAUGGGCGAAAGCCUGACGGAGCAACGCCGCGUGAGUGAUGAAGGUCUUCGGAUCGUAAAACUCUGUUAUUAGGGAAGAACAUAUGUGUAAGUAACUGUGCACAUCUGGACGGUACCUAAGCAGAAAGCCACGGCUAACUACGU
RNAcentral lists this ribosomal RNA (496 nucleotides) under uncultured bacterium. Its description in RNAcentral is "partial 16S ribosomal RNA". It matches the Rfam family "Bacterial small subunit ribosomal RNA", at positions 28 to 506 of the family's 1533-position model. The record is from RNAcentral.